RNAcentral lists this non-coding RNA (29 nucleotides) under Mus musculus (house mouse). Lineage: Eukaryota; Metazoa; Chordata; Mammalia; Rodentia; Muridae. The record is from RNAcentral.
UGAAAUGCUGUGCAGGGGGCUCUCUCUUU